ACUUUCUUUUUUUCUUGUGGAAUAGCAUUUUUUAACACAGGUUUCUUAAUAGAUUUCGCAAAACCGAAGGAAAUCUUCUUUCCUUCUUCUGCCAUUUAUUUGUUAUUUUAACACUGACUUAUAGAUCAAUAGACAUGUAUAUACUAGACAUAAAGAUUGAUGUCACUUGAAACUAUGUACAUGAAUCUAAUAUCUUAUUAUACUUUAUUAAUCUACUCAAAAUUACUUGCACAUUACUAAAAUUUCAUUCCGACAAUAUAUCAAGCGCCUGAAUAAGUGACAUUAAAGUAAACAUAUAUCAGAGAGGAAAUAAGAAGAACUGACGCCUAUGGUCUUCUAUGUUACAGAGCUAGUGCUACACCAUACGGCCAAAUGCCGAAAAUGGCUAGGAUAUCCCAGAGAGAGUAGUGCUGCACCAUGCAGCCAAAUGCUAAUAGACGAAUAUGCGGCUGCUUCUGUUCCAAAUAUCUCCGUUACUGUGCCUGUUGACGGAAAUCGGCGCGGCUGGGAUCGGUAAAGCAUGUCAGAUCCUGCCAUACGCGACCGAUUCCUGGAAUCACCCAUCAUGGCCACGGCUCGACUCUUCCGCGUUCGAAGUUCGCAGCGUGACCGGAGUUGGUCAUCUCAAUCCCUUGUUUAAUUGUUGAUUUUUUUAAAUCUUUGUUUAUUAAUUCCAGGUUUUUUACAUAUUUUUUUUUUUUUU
This is a long non-coding RNA of Bombus terrestris (buff-tailed bumblebee), 703 nucleotides long. RefSeq lists it as uncharacterized. The transcript is spliced from 2 exons. The record is from RefSeq and is a predicted model, not a curated record. NCBI's taxonomy places the organism in Eukaryota, Metazoa, Arthropoda, Insecta, Hymenoptera, Apidae.